GGUAAAAUGGCUGAGGUUAAGCGAUAAAUUGUAAAUUUAUAAACGAAGAAAAAAGUAAUCUUCUUUUACCA
RNAcentral lists this transfer RNA (71 nucleotides) under Campyloscelina sp. AH-2016. RNAcentral describes it as "tRNA-Tyr". It matches the Rfam family "tRNA". Rfam says of the family: Transfer RNA (tRNA) molecules are approximately 80 nucleotides in length. Their secondary structure includes four short double-helical elements and three loops (D, anti-codon, and T loops). Further hydrogen bonds mediate the characteristic L-shaped molecular structure. tRNAs have two regions of fundamental functional importance: the anti-codon, which is responsible for specific mRNA codon recognition, and the 3' end, to which the tRNAs corresponding amino acid is attached (by aminoacyl-tRNA synthetases). tRNAs cope with the degeneracy of the genetic code in two manners: having more than one tRNA (with a specific anti-codon) for a particular amino acid; and 'wobble' base-pairing, i.e. permitting non-standard base-pairing at the 3rd anti-codon position. Lineage: Eukaryota; Metazoa; Arthropoda; Insecta; Coleoptera; Curculionidae. The record is from RNAcentral.